This 1145-nucleotide long non-coding RNA is filed under the name Manihot esculenta (cassava). Its description in RNAcentral is "long non-coding RNA (MESC_LNC008670)". Lineage: Eukaryota; Viridiplantae; Streptophyta; Magnoliopsida; Malpighiales; Euphorbiaceae. The record is from RNAcentral.
GCUGGAAUCACUCUUUCUGUCCCUAGGGGUGAGCGUUUGGUCGGUUCAAUUCAAAAUCGAACCGAACUGAAUAAAUUAAAAAUUGAAAUUUUAAUAUUUAUAAAAAUCAAACCGAACUGAUUUUAGUCAAAAAUCGAAUCAAACCAAACCAAUAUGAUUCAAAUAUGAAUUAUAUGUUAGAAAUAUAAGUCUGAAACAUAGUCUAAAUAUACAUUGAUUUUUUUAUUAAAAAAUUACUAUAUUACUAUAUAAAUAUAUAAAAUAAAUUAAAAGUUAGGGAUUUGGUAUGCAGGGAAAAAAUGGCCAGGUUCGGCGUGGGGCGAGGCAGGGUUGCUCAAGUUGUCAUCCCUAGACUGACAAAUUUGGUUUUGGUUCUGUUAAUUUUUGGUACUCAGCCUUGACUACUACAUCGACUUCCAAAUCGUUGUCGCCAAGUUUUUUACAUCCUUAACCACGAUAAUUAGCCAUCCACAGUAUGGUUGCCAACCAACGGUAAAUUCCAGCAAACAAUGUUAUCCGUAACAUUGCUUACUUCCAUCCUCAGCUCCAACAUCAUUGGCUUUCUUCUUCAAUUUCAUUCUCUGAUUUCUUUGCCACUCAGAUUCUCGAGAGAAAUUGAUUGCUAUAAAUUUCAACAUCCUCAACCUCCAAGCAGAGCAUGAUUAGGUAGAAGAAUGGAGGAGAGGGAGAAAGCAAAGCAAUCUGUGAAAUCAGAGGACUUCGGUUUGGCAUCAUUAGAUAGAAAAGAGAGCACAUGAGUGAUAGGUUUUUGAUUUGAGAGACUUUUCACACAACGGUAACUAUUUGGUUGUGAUUUUUGAGUAAAAUCCUAAAAUUAGGGACUUCGACAAAAGGGCUAAUUGCAAAAAGAGUCGAUUCCUAAGGGCCAUGUAAUUUGGUUUAGAAAAGUAAAGAAUAGGAUAUAUAUUAUUUGAUUCCAAAAAUGUAGAAAUAGAAUUAUCUAUAAAUUUGAAGCGGAGGGAAACUUACUAUCUGAGUCCUUCCUUUUUCCAGAUUGUCUAUCUCUCAACUGUUUGAAUGACGAACUGCUAGGGACAGGACGAGACUUGCUAGAACCAGAAAGGUCACUUGUAGCAGGAGCAGGGGAUGCCCCUAACUUUCCCACCUGCCCAUUUGGUAUGUCA